Molecule: ribosomal RNA, 386 nt
Filed under: uncultured bacterium
Lineage: Bacteria
Description: bacterial SSU rRNA
Rfam family: Bacterial small subunit ribosomal RNA
Source: RNAcentral
GACGAACGCUGGCGGCGUGCUUAACACAUGCAAGUCGAGCGGUAAGGCCCUUUCGGGGGUACACGAGCGGCGAACGGGUGAGUAACACGUGGGUGACCUGCCCUCAGCUCUGGGAUAAGCCUGGGAAACUGGGUCUAAUACUGGAUAUGACUCCACGGUGCAUGUCGUGGGGUGGAAAGCCUUGUGCGGCUGAGGAUGGGCCCGCGGCCUAUCAGCUUGUUGGUGGGGUGANGGCCCUACCAAGGCGACGACGGGUAGCCGGCCUGAGAGGGCGACCGGCCACACUGGGACUGAGACACGGCCCAGACUCCUACGGGAGGCAGCAGUGGGGAAUCUUGCGCAAUGGGCGAAAGCCUGACGCAGCGACGCCGCGUGAGGGAUGACGG